CCCAUUUUUUUUUCAAAGGGCAUGCGCAGCUACACAUGCAAGUCGAACGGUAGCACAGAGAGCUUGCUCUCGGGUGACGAGUGGCGGACGGGUGAGUAAUGUCUGGGAAACUGCCUGAUGGAGGGGGAUAACUACUGGAAACGGUAGCUAAUACCGCAUAACGUCGCAAGACCAAAGAGGGGGACCUUCGGGCCUCUUGCCAUCAGAUGUGCCCAGAUGGGAUUAGCUAGUAGGUGGGGUAACGGCUCACCUAGGCGACGAUCCCUAGCUGGUCUGAGAGGAUGACCAGCCACACUGGAACUGAGACACGGUCCAGACUCCUACGGGAGGCAGCAGUGGGGAAUAUUGCACAAUGGGCGCAAGCCUGAUGCAGCCAUGCCGCGUGUAUGAAGAAGGCCUUCGGGUUGUAAAGUACUUUCAGCGGGGAGGAAGGUGUUGAGGUUAAUAACCUCAGCAAUUGACGUUACCCGCAGAACAAGCACCGGCUAACUCCGUGCCAGCAGCCGCGGUAAUACGGAGGGUGCAAGCGUUAAUCGGAACUACUGGGCGUAAAGCGCACGCAGGCGGUCUGUCAAGUCGGAUGUGAAAUCCCCGGGCUCAACCUGGGAACUGCAUUCAUAACUGGCAGGCUAGAGUCUUGUCAAGG
This 646-nucleotide ribosomal RNA is filed under the name Enterobacter sp. kor. RNAcentral describes it as "bacterial SSU rRNA". It matches the Rfam family "Bacterial small subunit ribosomal RNA", at positions 1 to 657 of the family's 1533-position model. The record is from RNAcentral. Lineage: Bacteria; Pseudomonadati; Pseudomonadota; Gammaproteobacteria; Enterobacterales; Enterobacteriaceae.